Molecule: ribosomal RNA, 775 nt
Filed under: uncultured bacterium
Lineage: Bacteria
Description: bacterial SSU rRNA
Rfam family: Bacterial small subunit ribosomal RNA
Source: RNAcentral
AGAGUUUGAUCAUGGCUCAGGACGAACGCUGGCGGCGUGCCUAACACAUGCAAGUCGAACGGAGUUGAGAAAGCUUGCUUUUUCAACUUAGUGGCGGACGGGUGAGUAACGCGUGAGUAACCUGCCUUUCAGAGGGGGAUAACGUUCUGAAAAGAACGCUAAUACCGCAUGAUGUAUUUUAGUCGCAUGACUUUAAUACCAAAGGAGCAAUCCGCUGAAAGAUGGACUCGCGUCCGAUUAGAUAGUUGGUGAGGUAACGGCUCACCAAGUCGACGAUCGGUAGCCGGACUGAGAGGUUGAACGGCCACAUUGGGACUGAGACACGGCCCAGACUCCUACGGGAGGCAGCAGUGAGGGAUAUUGGGCAAUGGGGGAAACCCUGACCCAGCAACGCCGCGUGAGGGAAGACGGUUUUCGGAUUGUAAACCUCUGUCCUCUGUGAAGAUAAUGACGGUAACAGAGGAGGAAGCUCCGGCUAACUACGUGCCAGCAGCCGCGGUAAUACGUAGGGAGCGAGCGUUGUCCGGAUUUACUGGGUGUAAAGGGUGCGUAGACGGCUAAGCAAGUCAGAAGUGAAAUCCAUGGGCUUAACCCAUGAACUGCUUUUGAAACUGUUUAGCUUGAGUGAUGUAGAGGUAGGCGGAAUUCCCGGUGUAGCGGUGGAAUGCGUAGAGAUCGGGAGGAACACCAGUGGCGAAGGCGGCCUACUGGGCAUUAACUGACGUUGAGGCACGAAAGUGUGGGUAGCAAACAGGAUUAGAUACCCUGGUAGUCC